Molecule: ribosomal RNA, 469 nt
Filed under: uncultured bacterium
Lineage: Bacteria
Description: bacterial SSU rRNA
Rfam family: Bacterial small subunit ribosomal RNA
Source: RNAcentral
CGCUGGCGGCAGGCCUAACACAUGCAAGUCGAGCGGAUGAGAGGAGCUUGCUCCUGGAUUCAGCGGCGGACGGGUGAGUAAUGCCUAGGAAUCUGCCUGGUAGUGGGGGACAACGUUUCGAAAGGAACGCUAAUACCGCAUACGUCCUACGGGAGAAAGCAGGGGACCUUCGGGCCUUGCGCUAUCAGAUGAGCCUAGGUCGGAUUAGCUAGUUGGUGAGGUAAUGGCUCACCAAGGCGACGAUCCGUAACUGGUCUGAGAGGAUGAUCAGUCACACUGGAACUGAGACACGGUCCAGACUCCUACGGGAGGCAGCAGUGGGGAAUAUUGGACAAUGGGCGAAAGCCUGAUCCAGCCAUGCCGCGUGUGUGAAGAAGGUCUUCGGAUUGUAAAGCACUUUAAGUUGGGAGGAAGGGCAUUAACCUAAUACGUUAGUGUUUUGACGUUACCGACAGAAUAAGCACCGGCU